Molecule: ribosomal RNA, 243 nt
Filed under: uncultured bacterium
Lineage: Bacteria
Description: partial small subunit ribosomal RNA
Rfam family: Bacterial small subunit ribosomal RNA
Source: RNAcentral
AGAAUCAACGCUGGCGGCGUGCCUAACACAUGCAAGUCGCACGAGAAAGGGUAGCAAUACCUGAGUAAAGUGGCGCACGGGUGAGUAACACGUGAAUGAUCUACCUCCGAGUGGGGAAUAACUGAGAGAAAUCUUAGCUAAUACCGCAUAACACUUACGAGUCAAAGCAGCAAUGCGCUUGGAGAGGAGUUCGCGGCCGAUUAGUUAGUUGGCGGGUAAUGGCCACCAAGACGAUGAUCGGUA